UACGUAGGGGGCAAGCGUUAUCCGGAUUUACUGGGUGUAAAGGGAGCGCAGACGGCGCAGCAAGUCUGAAGUGAAACUCCGGGGCUUAACCCCGGAACUGCUUUGGAAACUGUUGUGCUUGAGUAUCGGAGGGGCAGGCGGAAUUCCCAGUGUAGCGGUGAAAUGCGUAGAUAUUGGGAAGAACACCGGUGGCGAAGGCGGCCUGCUGGACGAUAACUGACGUUGAGGCUCGAAGGCGUGGGGAGCAAAC
RNAcentral lists this ribosomal RNA (250 nucleotides) under uncultured prokaryote. Its description in RNAcentral is "partial 16S ribosomal RNA". It matches the Rfam family "Bacterial small subunit ribosomal RNA", at positions 524 to 773 of the family's 1533-position model. The record is from RNAcentral.